AUUUGCGUCGAAGGUAUACCGGUAAGGAGUGCUGGAGCGAAUAGAAGUGAGCAUGCAGGCAUGAGUAGCGAUAAUUAAUGUGAGAAUCAUUAACGCCGUAAACCCAAGGUUUCCUACGCGAUGCUCGUCAUCGUAGGGUUAGUCGGGUCCUAAGUCGAGUCCGAAAGGGGUAGACGAUGGCAAAUUGGUUAAUAUUCCAAUACCAACAUUAGUGUGCGAUGGAAGGACGCUUAGGGCUAAGGGGGCUAGCGGAUGGAAGUGCUAGUCUAAGGUCGUAGGAGGUUAUACAGGCAAAUCCGUAUAACAAUACUCCGAGAACUGAAAGGCUUUUUGAAGUCUUCGGAUGGAUAGAAGAACCCCUGAUGCCGUCGAGCCAAGAAAAGUUUCUAAGUUUAGCUAAUGUUGCCCGUACCGUAAACCGACACAGGUGGGUGGGAUGAGUAUUCUAAGGCGCGUGGAAGAACUCUCUUUAAGGAACUCUGCAAAAUAGCACCGUAUCUUCGGUAUAAGGUGUGGUUCGCUUCGUAUUAGGAUUUACUCCGAAAGCGAAGAAACUUACAACAAAGAGUCCCUCCCGACUGUUUACCAAAAACACAGCACUCUGCUAACUCGUAAGAGGAUGUAUAGGGUGUGACGCCUGCCCGGUGCUCGAAGGUUAAUUGAUGGGGUUAGCAUUAGCGAAGCUCUUGAUCGAAGCCCGAGUAAACGGCGGCCGUAACUAUAACGGUCCUAAGGUAGCGAAAUUCCUUGUCGGUUAAAUACCGACCUGCAUGAAUGGCGUAACGAGAUGGGAGCUGUCUCAAAGAGGGAUCCAGUGAAAUUGUAGUGGAGGUGAAAAUUCCUCCUUCCCGCGGCAAGACGGAGAGACCCCGUGGACCUUUACUAUAACUUGACACUGCUAUUUGGAUAAAGAUGUGCAGGAUAGGUGGGAGGCUUUGAAGCUAGGACGCCAGUUCUAGCAGAGCCAUUGUUGAGAUACCACUCUUCUUUAUUUGGGUAGCUAACUAGCUUGAGUUAUCCUCAAGUGGGACAAUGUCUGGUGGGUAGUUUGACUGGGGCGGUCGCCUCCCAAAUAAUAACGGAGGCUUACAAAGGUUGGCUCAGAACGGUUGGAAAUCGUUCGUAGAGUAUAAAGGUAUAAGCCAGCUUAACUGCAAGACAUACAAGUCAAGCAGAGACGAAAGUCGGUCUUAGUGAUCCGGUGGUUCUGUGUGGAAGGGCCAUCGCUCAAAGGAUAAAAGGUACCCCGGGGAUAACAGGCUGAUCUCCCCCAAGAGCUCACAUCGACGGGGAGGUUUGGCACCUCGAUGUCGGCUCAUCGCAUCCUGGGGCUGGAGCAGGUCCCAAGGGUAUGGCUGUUCGCCAUUUAAAGCGGUACGCGAGCUGGGUUCAGAACGUCGUGAGACAGUUCGGUCCCUAUCUGCCGUGGGCGUAAGAAGAUUGAAGAGAUUUGACCCUAGUACGAGAGGACCGGGUUGAACAAACCACUGGUGUAGCUGUUGUUCUGCCAAGAGCAUCGCAGCGUAGCUAAGUUUGGAAAGGAUAAACGCUGAAAGCAUCUAAGCGUGAAGCCAACUCUAAGAUGAAUCUUCUCUAAGCUCUCUAGAAGACUACUAGUUUGAUAGGCUGGGUGUGUAAUGGAUGAAAGUCCUUUAGCUGACCAGUACUAAUAGAGCGUUUGGCUUAUCUUUAAUAAAGCAU
RNAcentral lists this ribosomal RNA (1701 nucleotides) under Campylobacter coli. RNAcentral's name for it is "partial 23S ribosomal RNA". It matches the Rfam family "Bacterial large subunit ribosomal RNA", at positions 1243 to 2925 of the family's 2925-position model. Lineage: Bacteria; Pseudomonadati; Campylobacterota; Epsilonproteobacteria; Campylobacterales; Campylobacteraceae. The record is from RNAcentral.